RNAcentral lists this long non-coding RNA (629 nucleotides) under Pan troglodytes (chimpanzee). RNAcentral describes it as "long non-coding RNA NONPTRT003251". The record is from RNAcentral. Lineage: Eukaryota; Metazoa; Chordata; Mammalia; Primates; Hominidae.
AGAAAUCUCUGUUUUCAUCAUGGAACCCCUGGAAUUAAAGAUGGAAGCAUUGUGAUUUUGACAUUGUUGGAUGCUGCACCUAGGUGGAAGAAGAGGAAGAGCCUUGGGGGCUACCAUUCUGGCUGGAGAAGCGGCACGAGGCUCCCUCUUGUGGAUUCAGCAAGUCUAAGGGCCAAGGGAAGAGAAGAGUGACAUAGAAUCUCCUUUCCUUGAGAUCUUAGAAUCACGCCUGCCUCCUUACCUCCAUCCAGGACUGUUGAAAAACUCCCAAAGCAGGGACUUUUAGGCCCACAUGCACUUAGCCUCCUCUUCCCACCUCCUGUUCAUCUCCGUGUCCAAUGUUCCACUGCCAUCGCUGCCAGGAAGUUCUGCAGAGAAGAGUGAAGAAGAACCGUGUGAUCCUAAACAUGUUCUCUGAAGAUAUUAUCAACCCACCAUUGGCCUUAUUUACUGGAAUGUUUUUAUAACCUUCAUUUGACACCUCUUCCCAUCAUUUAAAAUAAAUCUGGUGCUUCCCUGAAUAAUCUCUUGAGAUUUGUACAUGUCUCCCAGCAUCACGUUUGCCCUUUUAACAAGCACACUCCUUCCACUGCUCACGGCCACCUCAGGUUCACUGCAGUCAGGGAAUC